RNAcentral lists this long non-coding RNA (214 nucleotides) under Homo sapiens (human). RNAcentral's name for it is "HSALNT0004359". The record is from RNAcentral. Lineage: Eukaryota; Metazoa; Chordata; Mammalia; Primates; Hominidae.
GUCCUUCCGGUUCACACUCUGCCACUCCGUGAUCCUCUUGGCUCCGGAGUGAAGAACCCUGCGUCUUUGUGCACGUGUCUGACAAAUUUACAUAUAUCUGCAUGUCAUUAACAUAGAGGCGGGGCCGGAACUUGUUUGGGCAACUAUCCCUGGACGGUUCUCUUUGCUUCUUCCUCAUCCCGUCUGAUAGGCAUGUGGGCUGCGCAUGCGUGAG